GUCGUACGCUUCUUUUUCCCCGGAGCUUGCUCCACCGGAAAAAGAAGAGUGGCGAACGGGUGAGUAACACGUGGGUAACCUGCCCAUCAGAAGGGGAUAACACUUGGAAACAGGUGCUAAUACCGUAUAACAAUCGAAACCGCAUGGUUUUGAUUUGAAAGGCGCUUUCGGGUGUCGCUGAUGGAUGGACCCGCGGUGCAUUAGCUAGUUGGUGAGGUAACGGCUCACCAAGGCCACGAUGCAUAGCCGACCUGAGAGGGUGAUCGGCCACAUUGGGACUGAGACACGGCCCAAACUCCUACGGGAGGCAGCAGUAGGGAAUCUUCGGCAAUGGACGAAAGUCUGACCGAGCAACGCCGCGUGAGUGAAGAAGGUUUUCGGAUCGUAAAACUCUGUUGUUAGAGAAGAACAAGGAUGAGAGUAACUGUUCAUCCCUUGACGGUAUCUAACCAGAAAGCCACGGCUAACUACGUGCCAGCAGCCGCGGUAAUACGUAGGUGGCAAGCGUUGUCCGGAUUUAUUGGGCGUAAAGCGAGCGCAGGCGGUUUCUUAAGUCUGAUGUGAAAGCCCCCGGCUCAACCGGGGAGGGUCAUUGGAAACUGGGAGACUUGAGUGCAGAAGAGGAGAGUGGAAUUCCAUGUGUAGCGGUGAAAUGCGUAGAUAUAUGGAGGAACACCAGUGGCGAAGGCGGCUCUCUGGUCUGUAACUGACGCUGAGGCUCGAAAGCGUGGGGAGCAAACAGGAUUAGAUACCCUGGUAGUCCACGCCGUAAACGAUGAGUGCUAAGUGUUGGAGGGUUUCCGCCCUUCAGUGCUGCAGCUAACGCAUUAAGCACUCCGCCUGGGGAGUACGACCGCAAGGUUGAAACUCAAAGGAAUUGACGGGGGCCCGCACAAGCGGUGGAGCAUGUGGUUUAAUUCGAAGCAACGCGAAGAACCUUACCAGGUCUUGACAUCCUUUGACCACUCUAGAGAUAGAGCUUCCCCUUCGGGGGCAAAGUGACAGGUGGUGCAUGGUUGUCGUCAGCUCGUGUCGUGAGAUGUUGGGUUAAGUCCCGCAACGAGCGCAACCCUUAUUGUUAGUUGCCAUCAUUCAGUUGGGCACUCUAGCAAGACUGCCGGUGACAAACCGGAGGAAGGUGGGGAUGACGUCAAAUCAUCAUGCCCCUUAUGACCUGGGCUACACACGUGCUACAAUGGGAAGUACAACGAGUCGCGAAGUCGCGAGGCUAAGCUAAUCUCUUAAAGCUUCUCUCAGUUCGGAUUGUAGGCUGCAACUCGCCUACAUGAAGCCGGAAUCGCUAGUAAUCGCGGAUCAGCACGCCGCGGUGAAUACGUUCCCGGGCCUUGUACACACCGCCCGUCACACCACGAGAGUUUGUAACACCCGAAGUCGGUGA
This 1399-nucleotide ribosomal RNA is filed under the name Enterococcus durans. Its description in RNAcentral is "bacterial SSU rRNA". It matches the Rfam family "Bacterial small subunit ribosomal RNA", at positions 61 to 1433 of the family's 1533-position model. The record is from RNAcentral. Lineage: Bacteria; Bacillati; Bacillota; Bacilli; Lactobacillales; Enterococcaceae.